GACUGGGUCCGUAACUUGAGGAUUAUCCUCAUUGCUGCACAGAAAUAUUACAUCCUGGAAGCACCGCUGGGUGCCAGGCCUGCUGCAAGAGCAACACCAGAGGUUAUGAACGUCUGGCAGAGCAAAGCUGAUGACUACUCAAUAGUUCAGUGUGCCAUGCUUUACGGCUUAGAACCGGGUCUUCAACGACGUUUUGAACGUCAUGGAGCAUAUGAGAUGUUCCAGGAGUUGAAGUUAAUAUUUCAAGCAAAUGCCCGGAUUGAGAGAUAUGAAGUCUCCAAUAAGUUCUACAGCUGCAAGAUGGAAGAGAAUAGUUCUGUCAGUGAGCAUAUACUCAAAAUGUUUGGGUAUAACAAUCACUUGAUUCAACUAGGAGUUAAUCUUCCAGGAUGAUAGCGUCAUUGACAGAAUUCUUAAAUCACUGCCACCAAGCUACAAGAGCUUCGUGAUGAACUAUAACAUGCAAGGGAUGAAUAAGACAAUUCCCGAGCUCUUCGAAAUGCUAAAGGCAGCGGAGGUAGAAAUCAAAAAGGAGCAUCAAGUGUUGAUGGUCAAUAAGACCACUAGUUUCAAGAAAAAGGGCAAAGGGAAGAAGAAGGGGAACUUCAAGAAGAACAACAAGCAAGUUGCUGUUCAGGAGAAGAAACCCAAAUCUGGACCUAAGCCUGAGACUGAGUGCUUCUACUGCAAGCAGACUGGUCACUGGAAGCGGAACUGCCCCAAGUAUUUGGUGGAUAAGAAGGAUGGCAAGGUGAACAAAGGUAUAUGUGAUAUACAUGUUAUUGAUGUGUACCUUACCAGAGCUCGCAGUAGCACCUGGGUAUUUGAUACUGGUUCUGUUGCUAAUAUUUGCAACUCGAAACAGGGACUACGGAUUAAGCGAACACUGGCCAAGGACGAGGUGACGAUGCGCGUGGGAAACGGUUCCAAAGUCGAUGUGAUCGCCGUCGGCACGCUACCUCUACAUCUACCUUCAGGAUUAGUAUUAGACCUAAAUAAUUGUUAUUUGGUGCCAGCGUUGAGCAUGAUCAUUAUAUCUGGAUCUGGUUUAAUGCGAGACAGUUAUUCAUUUAAAUCAGAGAAUAAUGGUUGUUCUAUUUAUAUGAGUAAUAUCUUUUAUGGUCAUGCACCCUUGAAGAGUGGUCUAUUUUUAAUGAAUCUCGGUAGUAGUGACACACAUAUUCAUAAUGUCGAAGCCAAAAGAUGCAGAGUUGAUAAUGACAAUGCAACUUAUUUGUGGCACUGCCGUUUAGGUCAUAUCGGUGUAAAGCGCAUGAAGAAACUCCAUAAUGAUGGACUUUUGGAAUCACUUGAUUAUGAAUCACUUGGUACUUGCGAACCGUGUCUCAUGGGCAAGAUGACUAAAACACCAUUCUCCGGAACUAUGGAGAGAGCAACUAAUUUGUUGGAAAUCAUACAUACAGAUGUAUGUGGUCCGAUGAAUAUUGAGGCUCGUGGCGAAUAUCGUUAUUUUCUCACCUUCACAGAUGAUUUGAGCAGAUAUGGGUAUAUCUACUUAAUGAAACAUAAGUCUGAAACAUUUGAAAAGUUCAAAGAAUUUCAGAACAAAGUUGAAAAUCAUCGUAAAAAGAAAAUAAAGUUUCUACGAUCAGAUCAUGGAGGAGAAUAUUUGAGUUACGAGUUUGGCCUACAUUUGAAACAAUGCGGAAUAGUUUCGCAACUCAUGCCACCCGGAACACCACAACGUAAUGGUGUGUCCGAACGUCGUAAUCGUACUUUACUAGAUAUGGUGCGAUCUAUGAUGUCUCUUACUGAUUUACCGCUAUCGUUUUGGGGUUAUGCUUUAGAGACGGCUGCAUUCACUCUAAAUAGGGCACCAUCGAAAUCCGUUGAGACGUCGCCUUAUGAACUAUGGUUUGGCAAGAAACCAAAGUUGUCGUUUCUUAAAGUUUGGGGUUGCGAUGCUUAUGUGAAGAAACUUCAACCUGAUAAGCUCGAACCUAAAUUGGAGAAAUGUGUCUUCAUAGGAUACCCAAAGGAGACUGUUGGGUACAACUUCUAUCACAGAUCCGAGGGCAAGACAUUCGUUGCUAAGAAUGGAUCCUUUCUAGAGAAGGAGUUUUUCUCGAAAGAAGUGAGUGGGAGGAAAGUAGAACUUGAUGAGGUAACUGUACCUGCUCCCUUAUUGGAAAGUAGAUCAUCACAGAAACCAGUUUCUGCGACACCUACACCAAUUAGUGAGGAAGAUAAUCAUAAUGAUCAUGAAACUUCAGAUCAAGUUAUUACUGAACCUCGUAGGUCAACCAGAUUAAGAUCCGCACCACAGUGGUACAGUAAUCCUGUUCUGGAGGUUAUGUUACUAGACCAUGACGAACCUACAAACUAUGAAGAAGCGAUGGUGAGCCCAGAUUCCGCAAAAUGGCUUGAGGCCAUGAAAUCCGAGAUGGGAUCCAUGUAUGAGAACAAAGUAUGGACUUUGGUUGACUUGCCCGAUGAUCGGCAAGCCAUUGAAAAUAAAUGGAUCUUCAAGAAGAAGAUUGACGUUGACGGUAACGUUACUGUCUAUAAAGCUCGACUUGUUGCGAAAGGUUUUCGACAAGUUCAAGGGAUUGACUACGAUAAGACCUUCUCACCCGUAGCGAUGCUUAAGUCUGUCCGAAUCAUGUUAGCAAUUGCCGCAUUUUAUGAUUAUGAAAUUUGGCAAAUGGAUGUCAAAACUGCAUUCCUGAAUGGAUUUCUGGAAGAAGAAUUGUAUAUGAUGCAACCGGAAGGUUUUGUCGAUCCAAAGGGAGCUAACAAAGUGUGCAAGCUCCAGCGAUCCAUUUAUGGACUGGUGCAAGCCUCUCGGAGUUGGAAUAAACGCUUUGAUAGUGUGAUCAAAGCAUUUGGUUUUAUACAGAAUUUUGGAGAAGCCUGUAUUUACAAGAAAGUGAGUGGGAGCUCAGUAUCAUUUCUGAUAUUAUAUGUGGAUGACAUAUUGCUAAUUGGAAAUGAUAUAGAAUUUCUGGAUAGCAUAAAGGGAUACUUGAAUAAGAGUUUUUCAAUGAAAGACCUCGGUGAAGUUGCAUAUAUAUUGGGCAUCAAGAUCUAUAGAGAUAGAUCAAGACGCUUAAUUGGACUUUCACAAAGCACAUACCUUGACAAAGUUUUGAAGAAGUUCAAAAUGGAUCAAGCAAAGAAAGGGUUCUUGCCUGUAUUACAAGGUGUGAGAUUGAGUAAGACUCAAUGCCCGACCACUGCAGAAGAUAGAGAGAAGAUGAAAGAAGUUCCUUAUGCUUCAGCCAUAGGCUCUAUCAUGUAUGCAAUGCUGUGUACCAGACCUGAUGUGUGCCUUGCUAUAAGUUUAGCAGGGAGGUACCAAAGUAAUCCAUGAGUGGAUCACUGGACAGCGGUCAAGAACAUCCUGAAAUACCUGAAAAGGACUAAGGAUAUGUUUCUCGUUUAUGGAGGUGACAAAGAGCUCAUCGUAAAUGGUUACGUUGAUGCAAGCGUUGACACUGAUCCGGACGAUUCUAAAUCGCAAACCGGAUACGUGUUUACAUUGAACGGUGGAGCUGUCAGUUGGUGCAGUUCUAAGCAAAGUGUCGUGGCGGGAUCUACGUGUGAAGCGGAGUACAUAGCUGCUUCGGAAGCAGCAAAUGAAGGAGUUCAUAUCCGAUCUAGGUGUCAUACCUAGUGCAUCGGGACCAAUGAAAAUCUUUUGUGACAAUACUGGUGCAAUUGCCUUAACAAAGGAAUCCAGAUUUCACAAAAGAACCAAGCACAUCAAAAGACGCUUCAAUUCCAUCCGGGAUUUAGUCCAGGUGGGAGACAUAGAAAUUUGCAAGAUACAUACGGAUCUGAAUGUUGCAGACCCGUUGACUAAGCCUCUUCCACGAGCAAAACAUGAUCAACACCAAGACUCCAUGGGUGUAAGAAUCAUUACUGUGUAAUCUAGAUUAUUGACUCUAGUGCAAGUGGGAGGCUGAAGGAAAUAUGCCCUAGAGGCAAUAAUAAAGUUAUUAUUUAUUUCCUUAUAUCAUGAUAAAUGUUUAUUAUUCAUGCUAGAAUUGUAUUAACCGGAAACAUAAUACUUGUGUGAAUACAUAGACAAACAGAGUGUCACUAGUAUGCCUCUACUUGACUAGCUCGUUGAUCAAAGAUGGUUAUGUUUCCUAGCCAUAGACAUGAGUUGUCAUUUGAUUAACAGGAUCACAUCAUUAGGAGAAUGAUGUGAUUGACUUGACCCAUUCCGUUAGCUUAGCACUCGAUCGUUUAGUAUGUUGCUAUUGCUUUCUUCAUGACUUAUACAUGUUCCUAUGACUAUGAGAUUAUGCAACUCCCGUUUAUCGGAGGAACUCUUUGUAUGCUACCAAACAUCACAACAUAACUGGGUGAUUAUAAAGGUGCUCUACAGGUGUCUCCAAAGGUACUUGUUGGGUUGGCGUAUUUCGAAAUUAGGAUUUGUCACUCCGAUUGUCGGAGAGGUAUCUCUGGGCCCACUCAGUAAUACACAUCACUAUAAGCCUUGCAAGCAUUGUGACUAAUGAGUUAGUUGCGGGAUGAUGUAUUACGGAACGAGUAAAGAGACUUGCCGGUAACGAGAUUGAACUAGGUAUCGAGAUACCGACGAUCGAAUCUCGGGCAAGUAACAUACCGAUGACAAAGGGAACAACGUAUGUUGUUAUGCGGUCUGACCAAUAAAGAUCUUCGUAGAAUAUGUGGGAACCAAUAUGAGCAUCCAGGUUCCGCUAUUGGUUAUUGACCGGAGAGGUGUCUCGGUCAUGUCUACAUAGUUCUCGAACCCGUAGGGUCCGCACGCUUAACGUUACGAUGACAGUUAUAUUAUGAGUUUAUAUGUUUUGAUGUACCGAAGGUUGUUCGGAGUCCCGGAUGUGAUCACGGACAUGACGAGGAGUCUCGAAAUUGUCGAGACAUAAAGAUUGAUAUAUUGGAAGCCUAUGUUUAGAUAUCGGAAGUGUUCCGGGUGAAAUCGGGAUUUUUCCGGAGUACCGGGAGGUUACCGGAACCCCCCGGUAACUUAAUGGGCCUUAGUGGGCCUAGGUGGAAGAGAGGAGAGGAGGCCAGGGCAGGGCCGCCCGCCCCUCCCCCCAGUACAAAUAGGACAAGGAGAGGGGGGCGGCGCCCCCCUUUCCUUCCUCCCCUCCACCUCUUCCCCCUCUCUCUCCUAGUCCAACAUGGAAAAGGGGGGAAGUCCUACUCCCGGUAGGAGUAGGACUCCUCCUGGCGCGCCUCUCCCCUUGGCAGGCCGAAACCCCCUUGCUCCUUUAUAUACGGGGCCAGGGGGCACCUCUAGACACACAAUUGAUCAACGAUCUCUUAGCCGUGUAUGGUGCCCCCCUCCACCAUAUUACACCUCGAUAAUAUCGUAGCGGUGCUUAGGCGAAGCCCUGCGUCGGUAGAACAUCAUCAUUGUCACCACGCCGUCGUGCUGACGAAACUCUCCCUCAACACUCGGCUGGAUCGGAGUUCGAGGGAUGUCAUCGAGCUGAACGUGUGCUGAACUUGGAGGUGCCGUACGUUCGGUACUUGAUCGGUCGGAUCGUGAAGACGUACGACUACAUCAACCGCGUUGUGUUAACGCUUACGCUUUCAGUCUACGAGGGUACGUGGACAACACUCUCCCCUCUCGUUGCUAUGCAUCACCAUGAUCUUGCGUGUGCGUAGGAAUUUUUUUGAAAUUACUAUGUUCCCCAUCACCAUUAACUGAUCUAACACUAAUUGACCUAUAGCUAGAUAAUAAGCAAUUAGUCCUAAACUAAAUGGGCUAUCCCAUAGGCUGUGAGCCAGCCGGCCUCACACGGCUGGGCACGAACGCACGCAUAUGUGAGGCGGCCAAGGCCUGUCCAUGGAGUUGGCUAAGGUAGGCACAACGCCGGGGAGAGGAAGGCAAGCAAGCGGGGCGCAACUGGGCAUGGCAGGCUGGCGCAGGAGCGGGCAGCAGGCGACAGUAGCGCCAACAGCAGCAGAAGAAGAAGUAGUAACAGCAGCAACGUAGCAGCGGGCAGCAGGGGAGCGAGGCCGCGGACAGCGCCGGCGGGGCGCGCGGCCGUGGGCGUGAGGGCGCGGGGCAGGCGCGCGCAGGGGAGCACAGGCUGUAGCAGCGAACGGGCAUACACGAUAGCAGCAACAAUAACGCGGCAGUGGAGGUGGCCGGAGCAAGAGCUGACGAGGAACAACAGCGACCGGAGUACUGUGGUGAACGACGACUACUGGCAUGGAUCGUGCAGGGAAGAGUGGGAAUCGGGUGAGGACCUCACCGCAAUAUCGUAGGCGAGCUCGAGAAGGUCGGGGGUUGAGCGACGAUGACGAAUUCGUCGAUGACGUCGCGGUGGCUGGAGGUUGAAGACGACAUCGAUCCCUGCGAUCCAGGGGCUCCCGGCUCCAACUGGUGGACGUAGUCGAAGGAGUGGACGUCGGUGAAGCUUGCAGAUGAGGUGGCUGGGCGCGGGGAGCUCGGUGGCUACGGGGGCAGUGAGGCAAUGGCCGCGGCAAAGGCGGCCAUGCGAGGAAGAGGAAGAAGCAACGCGAGGCGGAGAGGGGAAAAGGUCCUGGGGGUGCUAGGGUUCGGGGGAGGGGGCUCCUUAUCCGGAGAGGAGCCGUGGGAUGGCCUCCACGGCGCCAUCGAUGGCCAUGGUGGCCUGGAUGGAUGCCACGACCCCCCUCUGGUGAACAGAGGAAGGGGGAGGCGCCUGGGGUUGGCUGGGCCAGCCAUUUGGCUAGAUGGGCCAAAGGUUCAGUAGUUUAGGUCUUUUGUUUUCCCCUGUAGUUUUGUUUUCCUUUUUUUGUUUUCCUCUUAUUUUAAAUAUGUAGGUCAUUUAUAAAAGCACGGUUCUUUCACCAUAAAUAUCUAGACAUUUAUUGCCACGCUCCGAACAUUUUAGUUUUGACUUUUGAAAACUUUAAUUGUUUAAACUUUAAUUCAAAUUUUGAAUUUGAAUCCGUUUCUAACUAACGCGAGAUUAUGAACAGUAACCGAGGUGACGUGGCAUCGUUAACGCGGGAUUACUGUAGCCUAAUUAUCCGGGCAUCACAAAUCUCCUCCACUACAAGAAAUCUCAUCCCGAGAUUUAAGCGGUGGAGUAAGGGGGAAAAGUGCUAGUAGCGAAAACCUAACGAGUCUUCUCGGUCUUGGUUGCUUUUCUCGAACCGGUCGAUCCAUUACAUUGACGUCUUCAUUACUCUGCUUCCAGUCACCAUGAUGAAGUCGGCAUCCUUUCUUCGGAAAAUUCAUCGUACUUACAAAAGGACAAGAGUAACUUCGAAAGAACGGACCUUACAAGGUAUACUAUCUGGCAGAUAACUCAGGGAAUGUGGUAGAAAGUAACUCUCGAAUAGAUACUUAAGAAAAUAUCGAGAGUAAAGUAAGAAGGUACCAUGAGAAGUUUCCAAUGGGCAAGCAAUCGUUCGAUGGCCUAAUUAGAAGGUGGAAGGGGUUCAGAGCAACGAGAACAAGUAUUGCGUCUGAUACCAGAAUAGAUCACUAGGCAGGUGGCCCGUGACUUACAUAUGAAGUCAAGCGCGAGGAAUAACUUUGACAAUAGGGUGUACAGGAGAGUCAGGUUUCGAUCCUAUGGAACUGUGGGUUAUGGUCCCACCAUGUGAGUUAACGGUAGGAAGGGCGGUGGUAUUUGGCAUAGUCAUGAUAACAAGGCAUGUCAGAAGGUAGCCUGUCAGUUAUGCCGGCAACAACAUUGGUACCAAGGGAGAGGGACAAAGAGAACCCUUUUCCCGCUCGUUGUACGAGGCGGACCAUUAGGCAAAGUUCUCGUCCAUCGGUGGAUAUCGGAAUGUCAUCAACAAUAGUAACAGGUUCUUACUGACAAAGUUGUACACCGAGGUGCUUACAAAAACAGUGACUUAUUACUACUUAGAUCAUAUAAACCUCAAGAAGGUUAAACAAAACAAUGGAAAGGAAAAUGUGAUUAUCAGAUUGAACAGAACAAUGGCAAGGAAAAAUGUGUUUAAACACAUAAUUCAGAGAUAUAUCCUUCCCAAGGACAAGCAGAGCAUGAUAUCCAUGACAAGAUAUAAUGUAGAAAACCCUUUAGGUAAGGGGGGAGGAAUCUCAUGAUAUUACCCAUGCAACAGUGUUAGGAUAAAUGAUAAAGAAAAUUUUGCAUUGUGCUUCAAAUGCUCUUAUUGAAAAUCGGAUUACCACAGACAUGCUUCGAGAUAGCAUUGACAUGGUCAUCAAGUAAGGGUCAGAAUUUGGAUGCACAAAUGAUCCAUCAGGAACAACUUAUAGAAUAAGUCUUACGAUUUCCUCAUGGAAGAAUUGCUAACCUUGCUAAAAAGGGAACUAUAUCAAUAGGUUCUCCGGCCAGGUGCGCUAGGCAUGACAUCACCUUAGCGGGUCAUAUAAAGACCAAUGUUAUAACUCUUGGAAAUAUGUUCCAACCAUUACAUCUGACCAAGGUUCAGAUUCGAUUGGCGUUAGGAUACCUCAGACUCAGGAUGUCCGAGAAGAAAAGGUGCAACACAAAUCGAUGAAAUGACAUUGCAAGAUUCUCGGGAAAAGAACUAUGGGAGCGGGUUCCUGAAACAAUAGUUCAUCAUUAAACCAAGGAGAGGAUGAGAAGGUGGCUGAUGGGCUCAACGGCAAUUCAUUGAGAAUUCCAAACGGAUGGAUUUCCACAAUAAUGUGAACAAUAUGACAUUUGUCAAUUCAAAUGAUAUAAUGUUGUAUGCUCUAGGAAAACAUACACCAUCAAUCAUUAGUUGAAAGGUGUGCCCGAAAUAUGACCUUAGGCAGCAAGAUCAAUGUUAGAGUGACGAUUCAGUAACCAACAGUCUAAGAACGAACUGUCGAUCAUUAACUGCAAGACAAUAGGGUUGCUACAAGUACAGAACUCAAACAACAUCGUUAGCAUAUUGGUAUCCUGGUUAAAAACAACACGGGGACCAAGGAAGAAUGGUGAUGGUGAGAAGUAUCAUCAUACCGAGAAUUUCUAAGAGUGGAGCAAUCCCUACAACAUUCUCGACAUAAAAGGCAACAAUACUUCAAGGCAGAGCACAACACUAGCUGGAGAGCAAGUUGUAUUAUAAUGUGGACAAGUUCGCGAUGAAAGGAAGUCAAGGAUGUCGUCGAUGAUAAUAAAAAUCAUCGAGGGCAAGGAGGGUAUUUCUCAUCAUGAACACAGUUGACAUCUCGGAAGAAGUCAAAGUGUUGAAGGUGAUCCGACACAUUUGCCGGGAGGUUUCAAGAGGAUGCAAUCAAACAACAACGACAACAAGCAAGGAAAUGACAAAGUGGCAAGUUAUAGGAUCAAUAUAUAAGAUGCAAGCUCGGAACCAAAGUUGUCUUUCAAGACAAGCAACAUGAUGUUGAAAGCUUGACGUAAGUCAUGCUCACACACUGAAGAAUUCGUGCACCAGAGAAGGACGAGGUAGCACAGUUAAAGAUAGCAAGAUCAGGAUGCAGCCGAUAGUCUAGGAAUGACCAGCUUGGGUUCAGAAUUUCCAAGUAAAAAUACUAGGGGUAUUUGAUUUGUAGUGCAGAAUAAUUUCACUAGUCGGUGUCCUCGGUUGACAACAACCCAGAACCCAUAGAGUGAUUACGACAAGGAAAGACAUUACUUCAACAAAGUUAGUAAGAUGUGGUGCAACGGCAAGACAUCUUCGAGAUACCAGGGGAUAAUACUCGAAGGUAGAACAUGAUAGAAGUAGAACCGGGUCAUUGACCUGUGGCAGUAGAUACUUCAACCUUGCCAAAAAUAGACGAGGCACCGGAAUGAAUUCCCAUCAAAUAUAUUAGAUCAGGGCAGCAUGGUCGGAAUCAUAACUAUAAGGAAUCAAUUUCAAGAAUACCAAAAGAAUCAUACAGCUGGAUAAUCAUUUUGCAAGAAGCUCCUGAGACGGUCUACAUCAUUUUCAUGGGCAUGAACACAAAGUUCAAGGUCGACUCCCACUUCUUUAAUGUAUAUCAUUUCAUUCACCUCUCGCUUUGAUAAAACUGUAGUGUUGGAAUUUUAUCUGGUAGAACACCGGAAGAGUAUGACUUGUGAAAACUUUUGGGUUCUCACGGAUUAGGGGAAGGCAUUGGUUCAACCCAUCGGGCAUCUUAGUAACAUAUACCACAAGUUUCAAAAGUAAAUACACAAGCUCGAAAACAGAGCAUGGUUGGCCAAGCAGAGGAUACAAUGUACCAAAGGCAUUAUGUACGAGGGGAAGGUCUCACAAGGUGAUUGAAUAUGAAGGACACUGUCGGAUAAAAAUCCAACAAUGGAUCGGGCGAUCCACAACGGAGCUGAUGUGAGUAUCGGUACUCACUCAGAGGAAGAAAGAAUGCAGAGGCAUCAGAUUCAAGAAUCACCUAAUUAGUCUGAUGCUUAAAUAGAAAGAAAUUAUGGUUUCCAAAACGAAGGAUCAGAAGCAGACGCUCUGAUCAAGGAUGGAUAAGUUGAAAACACUUAGUUGGACAAUCAAUAAAGGUUUGAAUUGCCGAGAACCAACUCAUGUCCGGAAUGACGCUUGAGCCGGAAAGAUAAUUUUAAAAAGGAUAACCUGAUGGCUGCGUGCGUACACACGCAUUGAAUCAAUAGGCUCAAAAUGACUAAGACAAGGGAUGUUAACGAGGACUACUAGUCAUAUGGAAUUAACCAUAAUGCAAGUAGGCAAGAGUUUCAAGAGUAACAGACUGCAGAGGAUUUUCAAAAGAUCGAAAAGUAUUCCGAAGAAUUAUGUGAGACACAUGAACAAUUGAGAAGAACCGAUCCUCGAUAAAUGUGAUGAAAAAAACCAUAAGGGUUUUCAUGCGAAAUAAAACUGCAAGACAGUAAACUCAAAGGAUUCUCGGACAACGGAGAAUAUCUCGAGGCAUCUUGUAACAACAAGAGCGACGAGGAAUGAUCAAGAGAAUGACAAGUGCAUGUAGAUAUCCAUAGGGAUAUAUCGGUGGCAGUGAAUUGCAAAGGCGAUGAGCACAAGGGUCUUGGGAAAAUAUCGAGGGAUAUCCUCAGAAUCUUCUGACGAAGCAGGUGAUCUUCCGGGAUGAGGGCUCUCCGGGAGAAAUAGUUACGAGAACCUAGAGUUAGAGUUAGCAAAACCAUUUAACCCGAAUAGAAGAGAGAUCAGAGUCCCACAGUAUAGACGAGGAGUAAAAGAUUCUAAUACCACCCAAUGGCGACGUGGGCCCGUAAGCCACACAGCCAAGUUAGUAAAACAGUUUUCGGCUUCUAGACUCAACUUCGGCCAAGGAGUUGGAAAGGGGAUUCCUACAGGCAGUCGGCUCUGAUACCAACUUGUGACGCCCCCGAUUCAAUCGUACACUAAUCAUGCAUGCAAAUGUAUACGAUCAAGAUCAGGGACUCACGGGAAGAUAUCACAACACAACUCUAAAAACAUAAAUAAGUCAUACAAGCAUCAUAAUACAAGCCAGGGGCCUCGAGGGCUCGAAUACAAGUGCUCGAUCAUAGACGAGUCAGCGGAAGCAACAAUAUCUAAGAACAGACAUAAGUUAAACAAGUUUGCCUUAAGAAGGCUAGCACAAACUGGGAUACAGAUCGAAAGAGGCGCAUGCCUCCUGCCUGGGAUCCUCCUAACUACUCCUGGUCAUCGUCCGCGGGCUGCAUGUAGUAGUAGGCACCUCCGGUGUAGUAGGAGUCGUCGCUGAUGGUGGCGUCUGGCUCCUAGGCUCCGGCAUCUGGUUGCGACAACCAGGUAGAAGGGAAAGGGGAAAAGAGGGAGAAAAGCAACCGUGAGUACUCAUCCAAAGUACUCGCAAGCAGGGAGCUACACUACCUAUGCAUGGGUAUAUGUGUAAAGGGCCAUAUCGGUGGACUGAACUUCAGAAUGCCAGAAUAAGAGGGGGAUAGCUAAUCCUGUCGAAGACUACGCUUCUGGCCACCUCCAUCUUGCAGCAUGUAGGAGAGAGUAGAUGGUAAGUUCACCAAGUAGCAUCGUAUAGCAUAAUCCUACCCGACGAUCCCCUCCUCGUCGCCCUGUUAGAGAGCGAUCACCGGGUUAUAUCUGGCACUUGGAAGGGUGUGUUUUAUUAAGUAUCCAGUUCUAGUUGUCAUAAGGUCAAGGUACAACUCCGGGUCGUCCUUUUACCGAGGGACAUGACUAUUCGAAUAGAUAAACUUCCCUGCAGGGGUGCACCACAUAACCCAACACGCUCGAUCCCAUUUGGCCGGACACACUUUUCUGGGUCAUGCCCGGCCGCGGAAGAUCAACACGUCGCAGCCCUACCUAGGCACAACAGAGAGGUCAGCACACCGGUCUAAAUCCUAUGGCGCAGGGGUCUGGGCCCAUCGCCCAUUGCACACCUGCACGUUGCGAGGGCGGCCGGAAGCAGACCUAGCCUAGCAGGCGUUCCAGUCCAAUCCGGCGCGCGCCGCUCAGUCGCUGACGUCACGAAGGCUUCGGCUGAUACCACGACGUCGAGUGCCCAUAACUGUUCCCGCGUAGUUGGUUAGUGCGUAUAGACCAAAUGGCCAGACUCAGAUCAAAUACCAAGAACUCGUUAAGCGUGUUAUUUGAUGUAACCGCGGACACCGACCAGGGUCAGGCCCACCUCUCACCUAGGUAGUCUCAACCUGCCCUAUCGCUCCGCCACAAAGAUCCACCCAGAGGGCCGUCGGGACAAAGGUGCUUUAAGCCCCCAAUCUGUGAAUCACUCGCGGGUACUCCUCGAGCCGACCCGACUUUAGUCACCACAUGUAUCAUGUAUAAAGUAUAUAAGUAUAUACCCGUGAUCACCGCCCAAGUGAUCACGGCCCGAUAGUAUAGCACAGCAGACGGACAAGAAUGUAGGGCCACUGAUGGAAAACUAGCAUCCUAUACUAAGCAUGUAGGAUUGCAGGUAAAGGUAACAACAGUAGUGGCAAAGACAGGCUAUGCAGCAGAAUAGGAUUAACGGAAAGCAGUAACAUGCUACACUACUCUAAGGCAAGAGUAUAGAGAAGAAUAGGCGAUAUCUGGUGAUCAAGGGGGGGGGGCUUGCCUGGUUGCUCUGGCAAGAAGGAGGUGUCAUCAACUCCGUAGUCGAACUAGGCAGUAGCAGCGUCGGUCUCGUAGUCUACCGGAGAGAAGAGGGGGAAGAAACAGUAAAUACAAUGCAAACAUAAGCAUGACGAUGCAUGACAUGUCAAGUAACGGUGACAGGUGUGUCCUAACGCAGUAAGUGGUGAUACCGGCGAAGGGGGCAAACAUCCGGGAAAGUAUCCCCGGUGUUUCGUGUUUUCGGAUAGAUGAACCGGAUGGGGAAAGUUGCAUGUUCGCUAUGCUAGGGAUGGGUGGCGGACGAACGGGCUGCAUAUUCGGAUUCGCCUCGUCGUUCUGAGCAACUUUCAUGUACAAAGUUUUUUCAUCCGAGCUACGGUUUAUUUUAUAUUAAUUUUCGAAGUUUUAAAAGAUUUUCUAAUUUACUAGAAUUAAUUUAAUUCGAAUUUAAAUAGCUAAAAUUAUUAUGUGUACCCAGCUGUGGACUAGCCACAGUGGAUGAGAGGUGGGGCCAGUGGGCCCCAGUCAACACUAUGUCAGCCCGGUCAACAUUGACUAGUCAAAGGUGAACAUUAAUUGUGGGUCCCAGCUGUCAUUGAGUUAGUUUUUUUAGUUAGAAAAAUUAGUUUAAUUACCCCAGGGCCGACAUAUCAUUGGCCCAUUAACUGAUCUAACACUAGUUGACCUAUAGCUAGCUAAUAAGCAAUUAGUCCUAAACUAAAUGGGCUAUCACAUAGGCUGUGAGCCAGCCGGCCUCACACGGCUGGGCACGAACGCACGCAUAUGUGCGGGCCUGUCCAUGGCGUUGGCUAAGGUAGGCACAACGCCGGGGAGAGGAAGGCAAGCAAGCGGGGCGCAGCUGGGCAUGGCAGGCUGGCGCAGGAGCGGGCAGCAGGCGACAGUAGCGCCAACAGCAGCAGAAGAAGAAGUAGUAACAGCAGCAACGCAGCAGCGGGCAGCAAGGGAGCGAGGCCGCGGACAGCGCCGGCGAGGCACGCGGCCGUGGGCGUGAGGGCGCGGGGCAGGCGCGCGCAGGGGAGCGCAGGCUGUAGCAGCGAACGGGCAUACACGACAGUAGCAACACUAGCGCAGCAGUGGAGGUGGCCGGAGCAAGAGGCGACGAGGAACAACAACGACCGGAGUACUAUGGUGAACGACGACUACUGGCUUGGAUCGAGCAGGGAAGAGAGAGAAUCGGGUGAGGACCUCACCGCAAUAUCGUAGGCGAGCUCGAGAAGGUCGGGGGUUGAGCGACGGCGACGAAUUCGUCGAUGACGUCGCGGUGGCUGGAGGUUGAAGACGACAUUGAUCCCUGCGAUCCAGGGGCUCCCGGCUCCAACUGGUGGACGUAGUCGAAGGAGUGGACGUCGGUGAAGCUCGCAGACGAGGUGGCUGGCCGCGGGCAUCUCGGUGGCUACAGGGGCAGCGAGGCAAUGGCCGCGGCAGAGGCGGCCAUGCGAGGAAGUGGAAGAAGCAACGCGAGGCGGAGAGGGGAAAAGGUCCUGGGGGUGCUAGGGUUCGGGGGAGGGGGCUCCUUAUCCAGAGAGGAGCCGUGGGAUGGCCUCCACGGC
RNAcentral lists this long non-coding RNA (14477 nucleotides) under Triticum aestivum (bread wheat). RNAcentral's name for it is "long non-coding RNA (TAES_LNC024364)". Lineage: Eukaryota; Viridiplantae; Streptophyta; Magnoliopsida; Poales; Poaceae. The record is from RNAcentral.